AGCGAACGUUAGCGGCGGGCCUGACACAUGCAAGUCGAGCGAGAAAGUGGCUUCGGCCACGAGUAAAGCGGCGGACGGGUGAGUAACACGUAGGUAAUCUUCCCUUGAGCGGGGGACAACGAGCCGAAAGGCUCGCUAAUACCGCAUACGUUUCCAGAGGCCCCGGUCUCUGGAAGGAAAGCUAGGCCGCAAGGUCUGGCACUCGAGGAGGAGCCUGCGUCGCAUCAGCUAGUUGGUGGGGUAACGGCCUACCAAGGCGAAGCCGCGUAGCUGGUCUGAGAGGAUGAUCAGCCACACUGGGACUGAGACACGGCCCAGACUCCUACGGGAGGCAGCAGUGGGGAAUAUUGGACAAUGGGCGCAAGCCUGAUCCAGCCACGCCGCGUGAGUGAUGAAGGCCUUCGGGUCGUAAAGCUCUGUGGGGAGGGACGAACCGCUGCACGUUCAUAGCGUGCAGCAUGACGGUACCUCCUUAGCAAGCACCGGCUAACUUCGUGCCAGCCGCCGCCGUAA
RNAcentral lists this ribosomal RNA (513 nucleotides) under uncultured bacterium. Its description in RNAcentral is "partial 16S ribosomal RNA". It matches the Rfam family "Bacterial small subunit ribosomal RNA", at positions 29 to 523 of the family's 1533-position model. The record is from RNAcentral.